This 396-nucleotide ribosomal RNA is filed under the name uncultured bacterium. RNAcentral describes it as "bacterial SSU rRNA". It matches the Rfam family "Bacterial small subunit ribosomal RNA", at positions 29 to 416 of the family's 1533-position model. The record is from RNAcentral.
AACGAACGCUGGCGGCGCGCCUAAUACAUGCAAGUCGAGCGAGAAGACGUAGCAAUACGUUUGUAAAGCGGCGAACGGGUGAGGAAUACAUGGGUAACCUACCCUCGAGUGGGGAAUAACUAGCCGAAGGUUAGCUAAUACCGCGUACGCUCCUUGGACUUCGGUUCAGGGAGGAAAGCGAUACCGUGGGUAUCGCGCUCUUGGAUGGGCUCAUGUCCUGUCAGCUUGUUGGUGAGGUAACGGCUCACCAAGGCUUCGACGGGUAGCUGGUCUGAGAGGACGAUCAGCCACACUGGCACUGCGACACGGGCCAGACUCCUACGGGAGGCAGCAGUAAGGAAUAUUGCGCAAUGGGCGAAAGCCUGACGCAGCGACGCCGCGUGGGGGAUGAAGGUC